This 32-nucleotide non-coding RNA is filed under the name Rattus norvegicus (Norway rat). Lineage: Eukaryota; Metazoa; Chordata; Mammalia; Rodentia; Muridae. The record is from RNAcentral.
UAAGAGGCUACUCGAUGAAUGGCUUUGCCAAU